UAAACAUUUACUAAGCACCUCCUAAAUUCAGAACUGACACCUGUUGUUCGGGUGGCCAGUCAGGGUCUUCGAAGCAAUUCACACACCACAUUCCAUGUUCUUCAGUGACUCACAAGGAAGUUGGCAUUAUUGUGUGUGGAACAGCAGCAGAGCUUACUAACAUUCUCAGCUACAAAACAAAAAAUAACGAACCAGAGACUUCAGCUCAGUUCUUGUGAUUGGAGUUGUGUUUCCUCCAGAGUGACGAGCAUGGUAUAAGACGCCUCGCCCUGCACCCCAUCACGGCUCUCCCCAGACAGCCCUGACAGAGGGACAGGGAGGAGUCUCAUUUUGCAUCAAGAGCUUUCCAUGGGUCAUGUUAUUUCACCCUGCACGAUGCUGUGUGGUCUCAUCACCACUGAACACACAAGACCCUGAGACUCUGAGAGGUAGACACUGCACUCUACAGCUGCGAUUCACACCUGGAUCUGCUGGCUCAAGGUCUGCACUCUUUCCACUGCACCACAGUAACCCACAUGAAUCAGCAAUGAAAAGGCAAGACGGAGUAAGCUUCAAGCACUGAUGACCAUCUGUUUUAGCCCGAGUUGCCUAUGAAACAGAGCGUUAUGCAGAAGCUGAAGUACUAAUGCCUUGUUAGAGGAUGCAAGCCCAGGGAAGCAAGAGUGAGAGAGAGAAACCCAAAGGAAGGCAGUUUAAGGCUUCACAAAGUCAUUAACAAGCCAGACCACUUGCCACUCUCCAUGACACUCUCUAAGAUCCGACCUUCAUCCUAAAGGCUGAAGAUGGCUGCUAGAGCCCCAGCUACAUCCACAUUCCAGUCAGCGCAAAGGAGGAAACAGCAAAAAAGGCAAACACCUUCCCUUAGAAAGA
This 870-nucleotide long non-coding RNA is filed under the name Homo sapiens (human). Its description in RNAcentral is "HSALNT0392938". Lineage: Eukaryota; Metazoa; Chordata; Mammalia; Primates; Hominidae. The record is from RNAcentral.